RNAcentral lists this ribosomal RNA (500 nucleotides) under uncultured bacterium. Its description in RNAcentral is "partial 16S ribosomal RNA". It matches the Rfam family "Bacterial small subunit ribosomal RNA", at positions 30 to 523 of the family's 1533-position model. The record is from RNAcentral.
AUUGAACGCUGGCGGCAUGCUUUACACAUGCAAGUCGAACGGUAACAGGGUGCUUGCACCGCUGACGAGUGGCGAACGGGUGAGUAAUGCGUCGGAACGUGCCGAGUAGUGGGGGAUAACGCAGCGAAAGUUGUGCUAAUACCGCAUACGUACUGAGGUAGAAAGUGGGGGACCUUCGGGCCUCACGCUAUUCGAGCGGCCGACGUCUGAUUAGCUAGUAGGUGAGGUAAAGGCUCACCUAGGCGACGAUCAGUAGCGGGUCUGAGAGGAUGAUCCGCCACACUGGGACUGAGACACGGCCCAGACUCCUACGGGAGGCAGCAGUGGGGAAUUUUGGACAAUGGGCGAAAGCCUGAUCCAGCCAUGCCGCGUGUCUGAAGAAGGCCUUCGGGUUGUAAAGGACUUUUGUCAGGGAGGAAAUCCCUAGCGUUAAUACCGCUGGGGGAUGACAGUACCUGAAGAAUAAGCACCGGCUAACUACGUGCCAGCAGCCGCGGUAA